GAUGAUUUCUCUAUACUACUCAUGACAUUUAAUAGGAUUUAUUGGCAUUUAUUUGGAUAAGGAUAACCUUUUGUUGUGGGUCGGAUAAGGAUAAGCUUGAUGCAAAAGAAACUGAAACAUGUUGUUUAAUGACAUUAAUUGGAUAAGGACAACCUUAAUGCAACCACAUCUAUAUAAGACGACUGAACGGUACCAGUCAUGACCACAGAAAACAUAUCGAUUGACAGACUAUUGCAUAACUACAUAUUCUCAGUUGUUCUGUGUUCUUAGGCAAUGGCGAAAAAUAGCAUCUUCCAAGUGAUCAUUGUUUUUCUCAUGGUGCAAGUCUGCUUGCUCAUGAUGAUGGCAGCACCGGCAGCACAUGCAGCUGCUAGACCAGUGGGGUACAAUCCAGUGUGCUGCCCUAGAAACAUUUACUGUUGCGGGUUCGGUGGCGCAUUGGCCAAUUCACCCGUGCCAUCCAUUGAGCCUUGAAGUGUGGUUUUAUUCUCCUCGAGGUAGUAAGCUCGGCAUAUAAAUAAUAUAUGUAGUUUUAUUGUUUCAUGUGUUACCUAUUCCCGAAUAUUUGUGAUGCUAUUUUCAAGAAGAUAUUGUACUAGCUACUUACCUAAUAAAAUGGGAGGAGAUUAUUAUAUAUAUUGUUUUAUGUUUACGUCAGUCCAUUUGAAAACAAGAUUAUUUGGCCGCACUGAUUUAUGGCAAAAAAACGAGUGGUGAGGUGCGUGCCUUUGGGAAUUUCUGUUUUAUUGUUCCGUUGGUCCUCCAUUUGUCGAGAUUGUCUGGGUCGUGGCAGCAUGCUUUAUUUUUCACAAAGGUCAUAACUUUUUAUAGCAUUUAUUGAGUGAUGGAGUACAUCACCAAUUAGUAGAAACCAAUUACUAUUGGCGAUGCUUUUUUUUAAUCAAGGGAUCCACACUCUCUUCCUUUCUUGCAAGAAGGCCGAUGCCAUGUAUUAAAAUUGUCCAACCCUUACAACACCAUCCUUACAAAAGAAUUAACAUAGAAAACAUAUCCUGGGUUAUAUCAAGGGCGUCUUCCUUCCGGACUUGUACGGCGUGAGCAAAACUCGAUGUGGCCUUUGGAUUUCCAGAACAACCUUAGAGCCAGGGUAAAUCAUUCUCUACAUUUUUCAAGUGAGUGCUCAAUUCCUCAAAAAAUAGUCAAAUAAAUAGUAUACGAAUAUAACUUUUUAUUCUUUGAUGGAGCACGAAGGGAUUGUUUGCCGUGGAUCCUAUAUGCGCAAUCUAUCUAUUAAUCUAUUACUAUACUAAUUAGAGACUCCUUCGAAAUUCCCACAAUUAAUCAGAAAAUACGGACUGCUCAUCUGGUGGGACCGAAUUAUUACUGUGUAGAUUUUUUUAAAUUUUCUCACAUUAAUAAAGAUUAAACAAUAAUUAUAAGCCCCCCAUCUGGUGGGACUAAGUUAUUACCACAUAGAUUAACUCAUAUAGUCCUUGGCCAGAAUUUUGCUCCAUUCUCCUAAAUCCAAAUAAUAAUCACUCAAACUCUGUUGUAAAAAUAGAACACUAAAAAAUUACGAUUCAUUCUCUAGUCUCAACUAUUCAAAGGAAAAAAAACUCCCACCUCAAUAUAGGCACUACACAGUCUCUUCCUCUCCCCAUUAAAAAGAUCAUCAACCGGAAGCAAUCUCCAUAAAUUCCAUGGUCACGCAUAGCAUUGUCCAUUGGAUCUGCGAUCGAUCGUCUUGGUCAUUGGCGGAGGCCUUCCUCAAUGGUGUGGCCGAACUCGAUCUGCGGGUGAGGUCAAGAUAACGCUUUGGUCCUAGGGGUUUGGUAUAGGGUCUUACGUAAGGAAAAUGGAAGAAAAAUGAAGUGAAGGCAGAGAACCCAUACACAAAGAGAAGCGAAGUCUGUGCCCCUAGCUACUCAGUAUGCGUACGCGGUUUUCGACACUAGAUGCUGCUUGUUAUUACCAACCAUUUGUAGGCGGUUUGAUUGUUCUGACUAAACCCGGGCAAACGUCAGGCUGGGCUGGGCUUGUAAAAGCCCGGCCUUCAUUCUCAAGCCCGAGCCCGACCCGAAGUCCAAAAACUCUCUGUUUUCAAGCCUGAGCCCGGCCCAAAAUCAAGCCCGAAAGCUCGGCUUGAACGUUGUUUUUAGUGUACGCACGUGCAAGCCUGACCCAAAGCCCGAAAGCCCGUCUCGAAAUACAGAUAAAGAGAAGCCCGAGCCCGGCCCAAACUAUCUUUCGGGCUGCAAAACAAGGCCCGAGCCCAGCCCGAAUGUGAAGCCCGGCCGGGCCGGCCUGUCGAUGCUCGGGUUUAGUUCUAACCACCACCAGCGUCGGCCUUUGCAUCAAGCGAUGCACACAGUCAUUUAUUAAAAAGUAUAGGGUCUCAAAGUAUGAGUAACAUCUCAAGUUGCCAAAAAGGAACAAGAAAUCAAACAAAUAGCCACAACUGACAAAAUAGGAAUGUGGCUAAACACCUAUCUUAUUAAUGGACCAGCAUCUAAACAGGUUGUACUUAGCCCGUGCUACCGUCUCCCAUUGAUUGCACCCAACAGCCAUAAGCCCCCUCUCUACCGCAUGGUGUAGUAAUGACCACUUAGGGAUCCAGCUAGUCGCCCUGAUAGAUAACAUACAAAAAGCUUGUGAUAUUUGUCCUGUUAAAAACACAAUCAUUCCGAUAGUUCCAAAUAGGACAAACUAAAUGCACAAACUAAUUCGUGACGUAGUAUUGGGCUCAACCCCACCUAGCCAGUUACCAAACAAAUUGGAGAUAAUAUUAAGAGGAGGUAUGUUCAACGACACGUGUAUUGUCCGUCACGAUAAGUUGGAAAUGUGGCAAGUGAGAGACAAAUGUUGACUCGUUUCAUCAUGAUCGCAAAACUACACCAUUUACUCCCCUCCCACCUACUCCCUCCGUUCCUAAAUAUUUGUCUUUCUAGAUAUUUCAACAAAUGACUACAUACGGAGCAAAAUAAAUGAAUCUACACUCUAAAAUAUGUCUACAUACAUCCGUAUGUGAUAGUCUGUUUGAAAUGUCUAAAAAGACAAAUAUUUAGGAACGAAGGGAGUACGUUGUAGGCCAACUCUAACCCAUCCACUACAAAAUAGAGGAGGAUCCGUCUGAGCAAAGCUUGGUGGAGUAUAUUUACUUCACUAAGUUUUGGCCGGACAUAGUCGACCCCCUAAAUAUAACCGAGUACAAUUUAUAAUUGGCUUAUACAAUUGGUUGAGCACUUGGUGUGCGUCUGCUUGGGGACUCCGGCAUGGCGAGCACCCCUGCGGCGAGGAACACGGGUUAAACACGUAGCUGAUCAGGAUGCAGACGUUGACAGAUAGCUGCCACCGAGAUGGCAAGCUAGACAUUGCCAAUUGCAGCAUGUUGGUUCCGCUGGCAAGCUUGCUACUCACAUGAUCCUGCUCGGCCUGCACCGUGCCUCGUCCCCCAUCGCGUGCUACAGCUCCUGCUGCUUCCCCUCUGACGGAGGACUGCACCCCAUCACUGUGCUCGACCAUGUAGUGCCUGAAGGGCCUGACUCCUCCGUUGGACAGGCCUAAGGAAAGCUGAAGCUGGAUGGCGUCGUCGACUGCCUGCGAGAUGGGCGCCGGAGUGAGUGUGGUGUUGCGUGGCACCAUGGCAGCAUGAGCUGCAGCUUGAGGUCGUGCCGAACGCUCAUGCCACAGGCGCUCGUGAUGCUGCAGGUCGAGGUCGCCUUCGACUAUGGCACAUGCGCCGAUGCGACGGACGUGUCCCCGUCCGAGCCCCGCAAGGAGAGGUCGCUGUCACUGUCGAACGCCACCCACGAUGAUUCUGACGACCACGGCUAGGAGGAGGGACGGGACGCGGCACUGGGCCGCGACCCGGGGAUAAGCCAGUGGUGGCGGCGACAUCGCCGGGGGCGGGGGUGACUGAGGCUGCGGGUGGUCACCAGGUGGCCACAGAGUGGGGACAGGCGGUCUUAGGGAGAGGCGACAGGUUUUACUCGGCCGCCUUCAGGAGUAAUUUUAGUGGUUGGAUAGGCGGACGAGUAAAAUUUAGCCUCACAUAUACUAUAAGUUUUAGUACUUCGGCUAGGUGCGACAUAAACGAGGAAAACCGAAUUUAUCCUUCCUUAGACUGGCCAUAAUGGGUAGUAACAUAUACAUGUUACUAGUCUAUGUUACCAUCUUUAUAAUGGGGAGUAACAUAUGUGUGGUAACAUGCAACACUUCAUUUAUUAGGCUAUAAACUCAUUUUGCCUUGAUAUGUGUGAUGUUACUCAUACUACUAGUAACUAGCUAUGUUACCACUUUACUCAAUUUCUUCAUUUAUUGUUUACCACAUCAUCUAUUUUAUCUAGAUAUGUGUGAUGUUACUAUCUAUGUUACUCCCACUAUGGGUAGUCUUAUAGUCCGAUAGGGAAUCUUGAUUUUAAAGGGGCCUUUGAUUUUUAAACUUGAUUUCAGCACGUCCAAAGACCGGUGUGGGUAUUAGGGACACAACCCCUUUUGAUGGCCGCUUCUAAUGCCCUUUUUCUACUAGUGAAUAUUGGUUUUGUGCAUCUAUUUGUGACGAUUGCUUUGCUCAUGGUGUCCUUCGAUGAAGUCGGGGUCGCCGGUCGCCUGCGUGCAGCUAUGAAGUUAUUCGUGCAAUAUUUUUUCUUAAUUAAUGAAAAUAACAAGUCUUUUACUACCCCACUGUACAAAAAAUAUAAAAAUGUUUAGAUCAGUACUUUAGUUAUGUAAACACGCACAUAUUUCUUUUACGGAGACCGUUUAACAAAUCAACUAGCAUUAUGUCGAGGAACGAUGCCUGCCAAACAGGGGUUUUGCACCGAGCCGCCGGUGGAAUUGGCCUGAUCGAUUGCCGACGCGGCUAGCCGAGCUAGCUAGAUAGGCCAAAAACAGGGAGCGCCCACACAGACAGAAAUGGAACGCACGCUAACUGACACUGCACUCACGCAUAUGCUCCUACCUAUUCCCUCCGUUCGGAAUUACUUGUCGUAAAAAUGGAUGUAUCUAGACUUAUUUUAGUUCAUCCCGCCGGAGCACCCUGCUCUGCCCAUCUCAUCUCAUCUCACUCACACUGCUUACUUGACUUCACUACCUAGCUCACUUCCUCCGGUUCUCGUGCCACCAAGCUUUCUUCCACGGCAACGGCCACGGCCACGAAGAUGUCUACGGUGACCCGUGCCCACCUCGACCAGAGGCUCGCCGCCGCCAAGCGCUGCUCCAGAGGUACUAACCAAAACGGUGGCAGGCCAGCAAUGCCCGUGUCGUUCUGCUGUUAAACAUUGCAGCCUAUGCGCUGAAACUUGAUCGCCAUUGACAUGCCUGUGUUGCUUCGGAACUGCAGAGGCUGCCAUGGCAGGAGCCAAGGCCGCGGCCGUCGCCACCGUCGCAGCCGCAGUCCCCACAGUAAGUAGCCAGUUAGCCAUUCAGUUAUUCGGCCAAAUCCUUGCACGGUUCAUAGCAUGUCUCAUGCAUGCGUUACCUGUAACUUGAGCUGGCGAGCGCGAAGAUGCGAAGAUGCUGCCGUGGGCCAAGGCACACCUGAACCCAACCGGGCAGGCCCUCAUCAUCUCCACCGUCGCCGACAAGACCAUCCUCUCCAUGGCCAGGAAGCACUCCUUCGAGGACGCGCCGGACCACCUCAAGAACACCUCCUUCCACUAAUUACACAGUAGAUCCAUUAAUAGUGCGCAACAGGCUGCACGUCGGCCCGUACGGUCGUACGUGUUUGCUGAAUGAUACAGUAGUAUAAUGUUCAGCGAGAGAGGCGAGGCGAUGCAGAUCAGGCGUCGCGCUUCUAUCCGUGCAAGCACUUAUCUGACGAAUUUACCAUGUAAUCUAGCCAGUACUCUUGAAUAAAUGAAUACUUGUAUUUGUACAACUCUGAUCCAUCUGCCAUCACUCAUCUUACAUGUGGCAGAGCAUAAAAAAGAAAUCUCCACCGCCGGCCCCUAAAACGUACACAAUAUCCGUUUGCGAGCCGGUCAUCCAACGCUAAUCCAACAAGCGUCCAGACACAUUUCAAAUAGACCUUAAACAAUCUAGAUAAAAUUCAUACAAACCGAACGAUUUUCAUUCAAACCGGGACAAGUUCAUUGCAUUUUAGAUAUAUUUCAACUAAACAAAAGUGGGCGACACUUUUUAACCCAGUCUAAAUAUUCGUCGGUCGUGGAGGCCUUCAUGUUCUGCAUCAUGUCUUUACCAUGUCUGGCAAGUUCAGUGGUCGCAAGCUUUUGUGAAGUGAAGUUGCCGGUGAGGAAGAAUCUGACUUGGGACAUGACUCACAUGGGACACAGGACUUGCCCACAUCCGUGUCCCACGUCCUACUCUUCCCGGCUAGAGUCUGUGAUGUGGACGUUGCCGGACAUGGAUGGAUCGGCCUCAUGGCCAAUGCGGUUGGGCACGAAAUGUGAUAGCGCCGCGAUCAAUGCGGAACUGGCGACGUCCGUGAUGUUUGUGCCCACUCUUCAUCCACCUUCACCUGCAAGACGCACUGCCGCCAUCGCUCGCGAGGGAUGUCGUGAACUGCGGCCAACGACCAUAAGGCUGGUCCAUCCGGCAUUUCCGACACGAAGGUUGUCUCAUCUCCAACGACAAGUAGAACUAGGAUAGUUUGAUCUAUGUUUGAUAUAGUACGUGGUUUAAUUUUACGUUCCAUGAUGUAGUAUCAAAAAAGUAGAGGGUGAGAUUUGGGGUUUGUGGUUGCAGCGAGAGAUAAAUGAAGGGUGACCGGGCUCGGUCUACGGAUGCGUCCGGAAACAUCUGCGAACAUGUGGGGUCACUUUUGAAAUAUGCAGCUGUAGAUGUUGUAACAUUACCAAGAUUUCAAGGAAUUGAAAAUCGGGAUGAUCGGUUUCCUACCUCUUCAUCUUUUUUUAUCGAUAAUUGUAGACGCACGGGGUUUUACGGCCCGUGACAGGCUCUUUNNNNNNNNNNNNNNNNNNNNNNNNNNNNNNNNNNNNNNNNNNNNNNNNNNNNNNNNNNNNNNNNNNNNNNNNNNNNNNNNNNNNNNNNNNNNNNNNNNNNNNNNNNNNNNNNNNNNNNNNNNNNNNNNNNNNNNNNNNNNNNNNNNNNNNNNNNNNNNNNNNNNNNNNNNNNNNNNNNNNNNNNNNNNNNNNNNNNNNNNNNNNNNNNNNNNNNNNNNNNNNNNNNNNNNNNNAGUGGGGGUGGGGCCCUGACCUUAAUCUCCAUCCAAACAGAAGAUCCCAACUAGGACACUCCGUGAAUCCCUGUAAAACAUAGCCCGUGUGUGUAGCAUUGCUCUUUUUUUAUAGGAAAGGCUGAAAUAAAUCCAGGAUCAAGUCUAGAAUUUGAAUCUUGGUGGGCUGGGAUACCACCGUCCUUCUAACCAUCGAACCACAGGUUCGUUCGCUUCUGCCUCUUCAUCUUAACGAUACACACAUUCAUACUUAUAUUUAUUUAUUAUAAACAAUUGUGAGUAGGAGUAAUAAAACUCAGUACAAAUCAAUGAGUGGAGGGAGAAAAAAAUGCCACAAUCGGUGUAGGCAAACAUGCCUACACAAAAAGCAUAAUAUUGGAUCAUCUAUCCUACGUGAAAUGUUAUGUUAUUUUUAAACAGAGGUAAAAGAUUUUCCUCAUCUAUUAAGUAACAAAAUAAUGACAGGAGGGACGUUUUGCCUUUUUUUUAUGUGUGAAGAUUGAUGUUGGUUAUGUGCAUCUUAACUAUGCAGAGGCCAGAUAUAUGUUUAUUUUGACUGUAUUCAGUUGAUGCUUCAUUUUAUUAAAUAAUAAAAUCCAUUCUUAAUGAAAAAAGCAUGGUGGCGGGGCUGACCCCGCCAAACAAAGGAUCAGGCGCUCGCGGAAUUGGAUCGCCGACGGGUUGGCGGUAAACUGGGAGCGCCCACACCACACACAUCGCCAACAACCUGAAGGGCACGCUGACAGAUACUGCUCUCACGCACAUGCUCCUACCUACGUGUUAUCCUACCUAGUACGUGUUAUCCUACGCAGGAACACGCUCCCCGCCAACCCGAUGGAUCGAUCCAUGCCUCGUCUUAUCCAGAAAACAGAGUCCGCCACCUGUGCUCUGCCGCACCUGCACCGCCCACCGGUACCAUUACCGAAACCACGGUCUUGCCUGCUUCCCACCGUAUCAGGUCGUCUUCCUGCCCGGCCGCACGCCGGUUGGGCGGUUUCCUGCAACCUAUAAAUUCCGCCGGAGCACCUCGCUCUGCCCAUCUCAUUCUCAUAUCACUUCACUGCUACUACUAAUUCACUUCCUUCGGAUCCCGCUCGUGCCACCAAGCUCUGCUCCCGCUAAGAUGUCGACGGUGACCCGUGCCAACCUCGACCAGAGGCUCGCCGCCGCCAACCGCUGCUCCAGAGGUAACCACCGACGACCGGUUCCGGCCACAGCCCAGCACUGCUCUGCUCCUAUAUCCCAACCAUCCAUUGCAGCUUAUGUGUCUGCUGAAACUUGAUCUUGAUUAACAUUCCUGCGUUGGUCUGAAACUGCAGAGGCUGCCAUGGCGGGAGCCAAGGCCGCGGCCGUCGCCACCGUCGCUGCCGCAGUACCCACAGUAAGUAGCCAGCUAGCCAUUCAGUUCCAGAGUUCAUAGAACACAUCUCAUGAAUCAACGCGUUACCUGUACUGUAAUUUCAGCUGGCGAGCGUGAGGAUGCUGCCGUGGGCGAGGGCGCACCUCAACCCCACCGGGCAGGCGCUCAUCAUCUCCACGGUCGCCGGGAUGGCCUACUUCAUCGUCGCCGACAAGACCAUCCUCUCCAUGGCCAGGAGGCACUCCUUCGACGACGCGCCAGAGCACCUCAAGAACACCUCCUUCCACUAAUUAGACUAUAAUAGUAGACACAUAUAAUGUUCUAUAAUGGUACUAUAAUGUUCAGCGAGAGGGGCGGUCAGGCGAGGUGAUGGUAUAAUUAUCUGAUGAUGUAUGUAUGUAAUAAUGUGGCCAUGUUCUUUCCAGGGAUCUUGUCAUCUUUCCAGGGAUCGUGAAUUAAUAACCACCAGUUUUUGUACAACUUUAGUUCAAGUGCACUCACUCAUCUCACUUAUUUCUUGUUUGUGAUUGCCAUUUGAUAUGCGUCAAGACCGAGUAACACUAGUACUAGUAGUAGACUACUACUUCAUUCAUUGGAUCCCCUACUACUCUCCUCUCUUCUAUCCCGAAAUGCACGUGGGGAUCAUGCCACCUGACCUCACACUAUAAAUCUUUUGAGGGAGAUGAUUGGUUUAUGCCGGCGGAUCUCAUGCGAGGCGUCCCUCACCUCUUUCUUGUGACACGUGUCUUGGGUCCAUCUAGUACUAUUUCUAGCGGUUCCGUGCGAUCAUGUGCGUGUGGCGGAGAAAGUUCUCUGCAAUAUCAUUUGUGUUGGGAUAUAACUAUUGGGUAUGACCAGAGGGGCCCGGUCAUACCGCUGGCGACUUAAUGAUAAAGAUGGCGGGUUAUGAAGCAAGCCCGUUGAAGGCCUAAGACCCAGAGGCGACUUGAGGCCCAAGAGGAUAAACCGCCAUAUGUGUAACUUGUAUUGUAAGGCAAGUUUAGUUAGUCACCGAGCCGGACACGUUGUGUAUGAGCCGGCCGGGACUCUGUAAGCCGCCGGGCAUCAACCUGUGCAUAUAAAGGGGUGACCCGGCGGCGGGUGAAGGCAAGAAACCAGAGAUCGAGAACUAGGUCAAGCGUAUUUGCUCCCUGGUAAUCGAAACCCAAGCAAUACAACCCCAAACUGGAGUAAGCCUUUACCUCGUUGCGAGGGGCCGAACCAGUAUAAACUCUCUGUGUCCUUUGUCCCGAUUAACCCCUUCAAGCUAAACUAACUGCGAUGGCUCCACACCUAAGUCCUUUCACUAGGGCAUCUGCCGUGUUAAGUCGACGACAAUUUGUGUUGCAAACUUUCUUCCGCAAUAACUCUCAUGUUGCAAAAAAAGUGAAAACAGAAAGAAAAAAAAUCUGCAACAUUACCGGCGGAAGUUGCCCAUGUCCGACCAUGCCGCCGCACGCCGACAAGUUUCUACAACAACAACAAAGUUACAAAACGGCGACCACAACGAGGGCGGUGCUGCUGCGACAACAUCUUUCAUUGCGAAAAAGUUCUGCAACAACAUCCAUGUUGCAGAAGUCCUUUUCGCAACAUUAUCUAUGUUGCAAAAAAGUGAAGAGAAAAAAACACACAACAUAAGCUCCGUUGCAAAUGGUUUUGAAACACUCCAUUUGUUGCAAUGAAUUGUGCCAGAUCUACGGUUGCGGAGGCGGAAAGAUCCGCCGACCGACGCGCAGCACGGUCCAUCUUUUGAUACGGUUUAUAGGAUGCCCUGGUAAAUAAGGAUAGAAAAUUUAGCAGUUCUGUAACAAGCUUUCCAUGGAUAGCCCCACCCUCCCACGCCGCCCCCCGCAAGGCGACGGGGAGGAACCUACUGCGCCGCCGCCAACUACCUUCUCCGCCCCUCCUCCCUCCCUCGCUGCCGCCAGAGGGCGCAGCCGGCCGAAGCCGCCGGCAAGGCCUCGUCGUUCCCCCUUCCAGCGGCCUUGGUGUCGGCCGACGCGGCUGGAUCGGGGUGCCUCGCUGUCCCAGGGCAAGGCUGUGUUGCGGCGCAGCUGCCUUGUGAUGGCGCUGCGCGCGGUGGUGGCGCGACGGGCUGGGCUUCGUAGGCCGUGCUGGUGCGUGGAGCGGCGGGGACGGCGAGCGGCUGGUGCGGGUGUUCAUGGCGGCGGGCGGAUCUAGCGUGGCGGCGGUCGCGGCGAGGCAAGGCGUCAGUGGCGGGGUCCGGUGUGGCCUGGGCUAGCUCCUGGCUUGGCGCAGUGGUCCCUGCCCUAGCUUCGGGCUGGUGGGGGUGGUGGCGCAGUGGUGGUGGCAGGCGGGGCAUGUUGGUCGAGUCCGCGUCGGGACCUUCCUGGUAUGGCGCUCUGACGUUGGCGGACGACGCGAGUAGGCAUCUCCGGUGAGCUUCCUUGGUUGCGGUUGCAGGUCAAUUUGGUCUCACUGUCGGCGAGCGCGCGGUUGCCGAUGGCCUCGCAAAGAUGUGUGUUGUUGGGGAACGUAGUAAUUUCAAAAAAUUUCCUACGCAAACGCAAGAUCAUGGUGAUGCAUAGCAACGAGAGGGGAGAGUGUCAUCCACUUACCCUCGUAGACCGUUAAGCGGAAGCGUUAUGACAACGUGGUUGAUGUAGUCGUACGUCUUUACGAUCGACCGAUCCUCAGUACCGAACGUACGGCACCUCCGCAUUCAGCACGCGUUCUGCUCGGUGACGUCAUGCGAACUCACGAUCCAGUAGAGCUCGAAGGAGAGUUUCGUCAGCACGACGGCGUGGUGACGAUGUUGAUGAAGCUACCGUCGCCUGGAUUAUGGUGGAUUAUGGUGGAGGGGGGCACCGCACACAGCUGGGAGAGAUCAAUGAUCAACUUGUGUGUUCUAGGGUGCCCCCUGCCCCCGUAUAUAAAGUAGAAAGGGGGGAGGCCGGCCGGCCCCUAUAGGGCGCGCCAGGAGGAGGAGUCCUCCUCCUAGUAGGAGUAGGACUCCCCUCUUUCCUACUCCUACUAGGAGGGGGAAAGGAAGGGGGAGAAGGAGAAGGAAAGGGGGGCGCGCCCCCCCUUCCUAGUCCAAUUCGGACUAGAGGGGGAGGGGGCGCCGCACACCGCUGGAAGAGAUCAAUGAUCAACUUGUGUGUUCUAGGGUGCCCCUGCCCCCGUAUAUAAAGGAGCAAGGGGGGAGGUCGGCCUUUGACUAUUGACAAGAUUAAUAGUACAUGACAUGCACAAUGCGAAAAUUGUAUCAUUGAAAGCUCCUUUCACACACGAAUUUAACGGUGUGCCUUGUGUAAGUUGCAUGUCAUAUAUUAUUGCUCUAAUAAUUGGUCAAAGUUAGCCUCGAAAAACGCAUUAGGCCCUAUAUAGAUGGAAGGAGGGAGUAUGUGCUUUGUGAAAGUCCAAUUAAGCGUCUUGAUCUAUCUCGAUAGAUCUUGAUGCCCAAUAUGUAAGCAGCUUCACCAAGGUCUUUCAUUGAAAAACUCUUAUUCAAAUAUCCUUUUAUGCUAUCCAGAAAUUCUAUAUCAUUUCCAGUUAGCAAUAUGUCAUCCACAUAUAAUAUUAGAAAUGCUACAGAGCUACCACUCACUUUCUUGUAAAUACAGGCUUCUACAAAAGUCUGUAUAAAACCAUAUGCUUUGAUCACACUAUCAAAACGUUUAUUCCAACUCCGAGAGGCUUGCACCAAUCCAUAAAUGGAUCGCUGGAGCUUGCACACUUUGUUAGCUCCCUUUGGAUCAACAAAACCUUCCGGUUGCAUCAUAUACAACUCUUCUUCUAGAAAUCCAGUCAGAAAUGCAGUUUUGACAUCCAUUUGCCAAAUUUCAUAAUCAUAAAAUGUGGCAAUUGCUAACAUAAUUCGGACAGACUUAAGCAUCGCUACGGGUGAGAAAGUCUCAUCGUAGUCAACUCCUUGAACUUGUCGAAAACCUUUAGCAACAAGUCGAGCUUUGUAGACAGUAAAAUUACCGUCAGCGUCAGUCUUCUUCUUGAAGAUCCAUUUAUUCUCUAUGGCUUGCCGAUCAUCGGGCAAGUCAACCAAAGUCCACACUUUGUUCUCAUACAUGGAUCCCAUCUCAGAUUUCAUGGCCUCAAGCCAUUUUGCGGAAUCUGGGCUCACCAUCGCUUCUUCAUAGUCCGUAGGUUUUGGUCAAGUAACAUGACCUCCAGAAUAGGAUUACCGUACCACUCUGGUGCGGAUCUUACUCUUGUUGACCUACGAGGUUCGGUAGUAACUUGAUCUGAAGUUUCAUGAUCAAUAUCAUUAGCUUCUUCACUGAUUGGUGUAGGUGUCACAAAAACCGGUUUCUGUGAUGAACUACUUUCCAAUAAGGGAGCAGGUACAGUUACCUCAUCAAGUUCUACUUUCCUCCCACUCACUUCUUUCGAGAGAAACUCCUUCUCUAGAAAGGAUCAAUUCUUAGCAACAAAUAUCUUGCCUUCGGAUCUGUGAUAGAAGGUGUACCCAACAGUUUCCUUUGGGUAUCCUAUGAAGACACAUUUCUCCGAUUUGGGUUCGAGCUUAUCAGGUUGAAGCUAUUUCACAUAAGCAUCGCAACCCCAAACUUUAAGAAACGACAACUUUGGUUUCUUGCCAAACCACAGAUCAUAAGGCAUCGUCUCAACGGAUUUUGAUGGUGCCCUAUUUAACGUGAAUGCAGUCGUCUCUAAAGCAUAACCCCAAAACGAUAGCGGAAAAUCAGUAAGAGACAUCACAGAUCGCACCAUAUCCAGUAAAGUACGAUUACGACGUUCGGACACACCAUUUCGCUGUGGUAUUCCGGGUGGCGUGAGUUGCGAAACUAUUCCGCAUUGUUUCAAAUGUAGACCAAACUCGUAACUCAAAUAUUCUCCUCCACGGUCAGAUCGUAGAAACUUUAUUUUCUUGUUACGAUGAUUUUCCACUUCACUCUGAAAUUCUUUGAACUUUUCAAAUGUUUCAGACUUAUGUUUCGUUAAGUAGAUAUACCCAUAUCUGCUCAAAGCAUAUGUGAAGGUGAGAAAAUAACGAUACCCGCCGCGAGCCUCAAUAUUCAUUGGACCACAUACAUCAGUAUGUAUGAUCUCCAACAAAUCAGUUGCUCGCUCCAUUGUUCCGGAGAACGGCGUUUUAGUCAUCUUGCCCAUGAGGCAUGGUUCGCAAGUACCAAGUGAUUCAUAAUCAAGUGAUUCCAAAAGUCCACUAGGAUGGAGUUUCUUCAUGCUCUUUACACCAAUAUGACCUAAACGGCAGUGCCACAAAUAAGUUGCACUAUCAUUAUCAACUCUGCAUCUUUUGGCUUCAAUAUUAUGAAUAUGUGUAUCACUACUAUCGAGAUUUAAUAAAAAUAGACCACUCUUCAAGGGUGCAUGACCAUAAAAGAUAUUACUCAUAUAAAUAGAACAACCAUUAUUCUCUGAUUUAAAUGAAUAACCGUCUCGCAUCAAACAAGAUCCUGAUAUAAUGUUCAUGCUUAACGCUGGCACCAAAUAACAAUUAUUCAGGUCUAAAACUAAUCCCGAAGGUAGAUGUAGAGGUAAUGUGCCGACCGCGAUCACAUCGACUUUGGAACCAUUUCCCACGCGCAUCGUCACCUCGUCCUUAGCCAAUCUUCGCUUAAUCCGUAGUCCCUAUUUCGAGUUGCAAAUAUUAGCAACAUAACCAGUAUCAAAUACCUAGGUGCUACUGCAAGCAUUAGUAAGGUACACAUCAAUAACAUGUAUAUCACAUAUACCUUUGUUCACCUUGCCAUCCUUCUUAUCCGCCAAAUACUUGGGGCAGUUCCGCUCCCAGUGACCAGUCUGUUUGCAGUAGAAGCACUCAGUCUCAGGCUUAGGUCCAGACUUGGGUUUCUUCUCCCGAGCAGCAACUUGUUUUCUGUUCUUCUUGAAGUUGCCCUUCUUCUUCCCUUUACCAUUUUUCUUGAAACUGGUGGUCUUGUUGACCAUCAACACUUGAUGCUCCUUCUUGAUUUCUACCUCCGCAGCCUUUAGCAUUGCGAAGAGCUCGGGAAUUGUCUUAUCCAUCCCUUGCAAAUUAUAGUUCAUCACAAAGCUCUUGUAGCUUGGUGGCAGUGAUUGAAGAAUUCUGUCAAUGACACUAUCAUACAGAAGAUUAACUCCCAGUUGAAUCAAGUGAUUGCAGUACCCAGACAUUCUGAGUAUAUGCUCACUGACAGAACUAUUCUCCUCCAUCUUGCAGCUGUAGAACUUAUUGAGACUUCAUAUCUCUCAAUCCGGGCAUUUGCUUGAAAUAUUAACUUCAACUCCUGGAACAUCUAAUAUGCUCCAUGACGUUCAAAACGUCGUUGAAGUCCCGGUUCUAAGCCGUAAAGCAUGGCACACUAAACUAUCGAGUAGUCAUCAACACGCGACUGCCAGGCAUUCACAAUGUCUGCAGCUGCCGGCGUAGGUGGUACACCUAGCGGUGCUUCCAGGACGUAAUUCUUCUGUGCAGCAAUGAGGAUAAUCCUCAAGUUACGGACCCAGUCCGUGUAAUUUCUACCAUCAUCUUUCAACUUUGCUUUCUCAAGGAACGCAUUAAAAUUCAACGGAACAACAACACGGGCCAUCUAUCUACAACAACAUAGACAAGCAAAAUACUAUCAGGUACUAAGUUCAUGGUAAAUUAAAGUUCAAUUAAUCAUAUUACUUAAGAACUCCCACUUAGAUAGACAUCCCUCGAAUCAUCUAAGUGAUCACGUGAUCCAUCUCAACUAAACCAUGUCCGAUCAUCACGUGAGAUGGAGUAGUUUUCAAUGGUGAACAUCACUAUGUUGAUCAUAUCUACUAUAUGAUUCACGCUCGACCUUUCGGUCUCAGUGUUCCGAGGACAUAUCUACAUAUGCUACGCUCGUCAAGUUUAACCCGGGUAUUCUGUGUGUGCAAAACUGGCUUACACCCGUUGUAUUUGAACGUAGAGCUUAUCACACCCGAUCAUCACGUGGUGUCUCGGUACGCGAACUUUCGCAACGGUGCAUACUCAGGGAGAACACUUAUACCUUGAAAUUUAGUGAGAGAUCAUCUUAUAAUGCUACCAUCAACCAAAGCAGAAUAAGAUGCAUAAAGGAUAAACAUCAUAUGCAAUCAAUAUAAGUGAUAUGAUAUGGCCAUCAUCAUCUUGUGCCUUUGAUCUCCAUCUCCAAAGCACCCGUCAUGACCACCAUCGUCACCGGCGCGACACCUUGAUCUUCAUCGUAGCAUCGUUGUCGUCUCGCCAACUAUUGCUUCUACGACUAUCGCUACCGCUUAGUGAUAAAGUAAAGCAAUUACAGGGCGAUUGCAUUGCAUACAAUAAAGCGACAACCAUAUGGCUCCUGCUAGUUGCCGAUAACUCCGUUACAAAACGUGAUCAUCUCAUACAAUAAAAUAUAGCAUCAUGUCUUGACCAUAUCACAUCACAACAUGCCCUGCAAAAACAAGUUAGACGUCCUCUACUUUGUUGUUGUAAGUUUUACGUGGCUGCUACGGGCUGAGCAAGAACCGUUCUUACCUACGCAUCAAAGCCACAACGAUAGUUCGUCAAGUUAGUGCUGUUUUAACCUUCUCAAGGACCGGGCGUAGCCACACUUGGUUCAACUAAAGUUGGAGAAACUGACACCCGCCAGCCACCUGUGUGCAAAGCACGUCGGUAGAACCAGUCUCGCGUAAGCGUACGCAUAAUGUCGGUCCGGGCCGCUUCAUCCAACAAUACCGCCGAACCAAAGUAUGACAUGCUGGUAAGCAGUAUGACUUAUAUCGCCCACAACUCACUUGUGUUCUACUCGUGCAUAUAACAUCUACGCAUAAACCAGGCUCUGAUGCCACUGUUGGGGAACAUAGUAAUUUCAAAAAAAUUCAUACGCACACGCAAGAUCAUGGUGAUGCAUAGCAACGAGAGGGGAGAGUGUCGUCCACGUACCCUCGUAGACCGUUAAGCGGAAGCGUUAUGACAACGCGGUUGAUGUAGUCGUAAGUCUUUACGAUCGACCGAUCCUCAGUACCGAACGUACGACACCUUCGCGUUCAUCACACGUUCAGCUCGGUGACGUCCCGUGAACUCACGAUCCAGUAGAGCUCGAGGGAGAGUUUCGUCAGCACGACGGCGUGGUGACGAUGGUGAUGAAGCUACCGUCGCAGGGCUUCGCCUAAGCACUGCUACGAUAUGACCGAGGUGGAUUAUGGUGGAGGGGGGCACCGCACACGGCUGGGAGAGAUCUAUGAUCAACUUGUGUGUUCUAGGGUGCCUCGUGCCCCCGUAUAUAAAGGAGUAAGGGGCAGGCCAGCCGGCCCCUGUAGGGCACGCCAGGAGGAGGAGUCCUCCUCCUAGUAGGAGUAGGACUCCCCUCUUUCCUACUCCUACUAGGAGGGGGAAAGGAAGGGGGAGAAGGAGAAGGAAAGGGGGCGCCGCCCCCCUUCCUAGUCCAACCCAGAGGGGGAGGGGGCGCGCGGCCUGCCCUGGCCAGCCCCUCUCUCUCCACUAGUGCCCAACUAGGCCCAUUAACCCCCGGGGGGUUCCGGUAACCCCUCCGGCACUCCGGUAAAAUUCCGAUUUCACACGGAACUCUUCUGAUGUCCAAAUAUAGGCUUCCAAUAUAUCAAUAUUUAUGUCUCGACCAUUUCGAGACUCCCCGUCAUGUCCGUGAUCAUACCCGGGACUCCGAACUAUCUUCGGUACAUCAAAACAUAUAAACUCAUAAUACCGAUCGUCACAGAACUUUAAGCGUGCGUACCCUACAGGUUCGAGAACUAUGUAGACAUGACCGAGACACGUCUUCGGUCAAUAACCAAUAGCGGAACCUGGAUGCUCAUAUUGGUUCCUACAUAUUCUACGAAGAUCUUUAUCGGUCAAACCGCAUAACAACAUACGUUGUUCCCUUUGUCAUCGGUAUGUUACUUGCCCGAGAUUCGAUCGUCGGUAUCUCAAUACCUAGCUCAAUCUCGUUACCGGCAAGUCUCUUUACUCGUUCCGUAAUGCAUCAUCCCGUAACUAACUCAUUAGUCACAUUGCUUGCAAGGCUUAUAGUGAUGUGCAUUACCGAGAGGGCCCGGAGAUACCUCUCCGACAACCGGAGUGACAAAUUCUAAUCUCGAUCUAUGCCAACUCAACAAGUACCAUCGGAGACACCUGUAGAGCACCUUUAUAAUCACCCAUUUACGUUGUGACGUUUGGUAGCACACAAAGUGUUCCUCUGGUAAUCGGGAGUUGCAUAAUCUCAUAGUCAUAGGAACAUGUAUAAGUCAUGAAGAAAGCAAUAGCAGUAAACUAAACGAUCAAGUGCUAAGCUAACGGAAUGGGUCAAGUCAAUCACAUCAUUAUCCUAAUGAUGUGAUCCCGUUAAUCAAAUGACAACUCAUGUCGAUGGCUAGGAAACUCAACAAUCUUUGAUCAACGAGCUAGUCAAGUAGAGGCAUACUAGUGACACUAUGUUUGUCUAUGUAUUCACACAUGUAUUAUGUUUCCGGUUAAUACAAUUCUAGCAUGAAUAAUAAAGAUUUAUCAUGAUAUGAGGAAAUAAAUAAUAACUUUAUUAUUGCCUCUAGGGCUCCUCCUUCCCCCCUUUCGUCGUGUUUGGCAGGGAGCUCAGUUGGAGGGAUGGGUGGCCUCGAUGCGGUCACGUAACCUGUCACCAGCACGGCGUGCCGGUCCGGAUUCGUCCGCUCCGCUUUCUCCCCCUUUCCUCGGCCUGGGGCGGGUUGGCACAGGUUUACCAACGGAGCAUCUGCGGGUGGUUCUGUCAGUCGAGGGACGUCGGUUGGUCCAAAGCUAGGGCCUUUGUGUACGUCUCGGGGUUGUUUGGUUGCAGGGCGGCGGGAAGCAUGACGUUCGUGGGCGAAGCGUGCGUCUUAUGUGCGGGUGGGAAACUAUGGCCGUGUGGGUGGCGUGGUUGCGGGUGGUUGACGGAGAUAAGGUGCACUGGUGGGGUGUGAGCACCGGGGUACACCACUUGUUCAGUCCUUUGACUACCCGACGGUGGUGGUGGCCGUUGCCGUCAUACCGUCCUGAAGGCUCCGUGGCGGCGUUCCCACUCUGGUCAUCUUGCUCCGGGUGAAACCCGAUCUUCGCUAAUCGGGCGGUGGCGGCUAUCCAUGGUCGUAUCCUUCUUGGAGGCACCGCUUUGGAGGCCUGGCUUCAUUGUGGUCCGGUUCACCUCUUUAUUGUCUGUCGGUGGGGUGGUGUAUUGGUGCCUGGCACCUUUGUAUCUUGCUCUGGGUGUGUGCGAUAUGUGCGUUGUUCGGUAUCUCGAAUGUAUUUGGUGAUGGUUGCUUUAUAUAAUAUAAAGUGGGGAAACCCUUUUUCGGUAAACAAGCUUUCCAUACUAGUGGAGCUCCCCUGGUUAGGUUGGAGGUGUUUCUUGAGACCAGAGACACCUUGACACUUUUCUUGGUCGCGAGUUAUAGAAGUGCAUGAUCUACCUAAUAUGUCCAUUUUGCAUCAUGCUUUUAUAUUGAUAUUUAUUGCAUUAUGGGUUGUUAUUACCUAUUUUGGUACAAUACUUAUGCCUUUUUCUCUCUUAUUUUACAAGGUUUACAUGAAGAGGGAGAAUGCCGGCAGCUGGAAUUCUAGGCUGGAAAAGGAGCAAAUAUUAGAGACCUAUUCUGCACAACUCCAAAAGUCCUGGAAAUUUACGCAGAGUCAUUUUGGAAUUAAUAAAAAAUAUUGGGCGAAGUAAGCACCAGAGGGGGGCCACCAGCCAUCCACAAGGGUGGGGGCGCGCCCUAUCCCCCUGGGCGCGCCCCCCUUCCUUCAAACAAACCUUCUGACCAGGAAAAGGCAUACCAAAGAUUUUCGGAAAGACACGUUGAAAUGGAAGCUCUCGAACCUAUUCCGAAGUAAGUGUGGGCCCCCUGGCAGGCCUCCGGUGUCCAUCUUAUGCUAUAUGGUGUGUUUUGACCUAGAAAAAACCAGAAGGAACUUUCGGGACGAAGCGCCGGCGUCUCGAGAUGAAACUUGGGCAAAAUCAAUCUAGGGCUUCGGCGGAGCAAUUCUGCCGGGGAAACUUCCCUCCGGGAGUGGGAAAUCGAAGCCAUCGUCAUCACAAAUGAUCCUCUCAUCGAGAGGGGGUUAAUCUCCAUCCAGAUCUUCACCAGCACCAUCUCCUCUAAAACUCUAGUUCAUCUCUUGUAUCCGAUCUUUGUCUCAAAACCUCAGAUUGGUACCUGUGGGUUGGUAGUAGUGUUGAUUACUCCUUGUAGUUGAUGCUAAUUGGUUUAUUUGGUGGAAGUUCAUUUGUUCAGAUCCUUAAUGAUAAUUUAUACUCCUCUGAUUUUGAACAUGAAUAUGUUGUGUGAGUAGUUUCGUUUGUUCCUGAGGACAUGGGAGAAGUCUUGUUAUGAGUAAUCAUGUGAAUUUGGUAUUCGUUCGAUAUUUUGAUGAGAUGUAUGUUGUCUUUCCUCUAGUGGUGUUAUGUGAGCGUCGACUACAUGACACUUCACCAUGAUUUGGGCCUAGGGGAAGGCAUUGGGAAGUAAUAAGAAGAUGAUGGGUUGCUAGAGUGACAGAAGCUUAAACCCUAAUUUAUGUGUUGCUUCGUAAGGGGCUGAUUUGGAUCCAUAUGUUUCAUGGUAUAGUUAGAGUUAUCCAUUCUUCGUUCGUAGUUGCGGAUGCUUGCGAGAGGUGUUAAUCAUAAGUGGGAGGCUUGUCCAAGGAAGGCCAGCACCCGACCACCGAUCCACCCACAUAUCAAAUUAUCAAAGUAACGAACGCGAAUCAUAUGAGCAUGCUGAAAACUAGCUUGACAAUAAUUCUCAUGUGUCCUCGGGAGCGCUUUGCUUUAUAUAAGAGUUCGUCCAGGCUUUUCCUUUGCUACAAAAAGGAUUGGGCCACCUUUUUGCACCUUAGUUACUUUUGUUACUUGUUACCCGUUACGAAUUAUCCUAUCACAAAAUUAUCUGUUACAGAUAAUUUCAGUGCUUGCAGAGAAUACCUUGCUGAAAACCGCUUGUCAUUUCCUUCUGCUCCUCGUUGGGUUCGACACUCCUACUUAUCGAAAGGACUACAAUAGAUCCCCUGUACUUUCGGGUCAUCAAGACUCUUUUCUGGCGCCGUUGCCGGGGAGUGAAGCGCCUUUGCCGAGUGGAAUUUGGUAAGGAAACAUUUAUAUUACAUGCUGAAAUUUACUGUCACUUGUCACUAUGAAAAAUAAUCCUUUGAGGGAUUUGUAUGGGGUAUCUUCACCCCGACCGUAUGAGAAAAGAGUUGCCCCUCAACCUACUGAACCUACUGAAAAUGUUUAUUAUGAAAUUCCUUCGGAUAUGAUAGAGAAACUACUAGCUAAUCCUUUGGAGAUGGAACACUACAUCCUGAUAUGCAUCUAAUCUAUAUGGAUGAAGUUUGUGGAUCAUUUAAGCUUGCAGGUUUGCCCGAGGAUGAUGUGAAGAAGAAGGUCUUCCCUUUAUUUUUGAAGGGAAAAGCAUUGACAUGGUAUAGGCUAUGUGAUGAUAUUGGAUCAUGGAACUACAACCGAUUGAAAUUGGAAUUUCAUCAGAAGUUUUAUCCUAUGCAUCUGGUUCACCGUGACCGAAACUAUAUAUAUAUAUAUAUAUAUAUAUAUAUAUAUAUAUAUAUAUAUAUAUAUAUAUAUAAUUUUUGGCCUCGUGAAGGAGAGUGUAUCGCUCAAGCUUGGGGGAGGCUUAAGUCAAUGUUAUAUUCAUGCCCCAAUCAUGAGCUGUCAAUAGAGUUUAUUAUUCGGAAUUUUUAUGCUUGGCUCUCUUGUAAUGAUCAAUCCAUGCUCAAUACUUCUUGUACUGGUUCUUUUAUGAAGAAGACUAUUGAAUUCAAAUGGGAUUUAUUGGAAAGAAUUAAAUGCAACUCUGAAGAUUGGGAACUCGACGAAGGUAAUGAGUCAGGUAUAAACCUUAAGGUUGAUUGUGUUAAAUCUUUUAUGGAUACCGAUGCUUUUCGUGAAUUUAGCACUAAGUAUGGACUUGACUCUGAGAUAGUAGUUUCUUUCUGUGAAUCAUUUGGUACUCAUGUUGAUCUCCCUAAAGAGAAGUGGUUUAAAUAUCAUCCUCCCACUUAAGUAAAAGUAGUAGAACCUAUUAAAGUUGAAGAAGAAACUAUUAGUUAUAAUGUUGAUCAUGUUGUUCCUACUGCUUAUAUUGAGAAGCCACCUUUCCCUGUUAGAAUAAAGGAACAUGCUAAAGCUUCAACUAUGGUUCGUAAGAGUUAUACUAGAACACAUACACCCCCUGAACAAAUUAAAGUUGAACCUAGUAUUACUAUGGUUAAGGAUCUCUUGGUUGAUAAUAUUGAUGGGCAUGUUAUUUAUUUCUUCGAUGAAGCUGCUAGGAUUGCUAAACCCAAUACUAAAGAUAAACAUAGAACCGUUGUUGGCAUGUCUGUUGUUUCUGUUAAAAUAGGAGAUCAUUGUUAUCAUGGCUUAUGUGAUGUGGGUGCUAGUGUGAGUGCAAUUCCUUUUACCUUAUCAAGAAAUUAUGAAUGAUAUUGCAUUUGCUAAGAUAGAUGAUAUUGAUGUUACUAUUAAGCUUGCCAAUAGAGAUACUAUAUCACCAGUUGGGAGUGUUAGAGAUGUUGAAGUCUUGUGUGGGAAAAUAUAAUACCCUACUGAUUUUCUUAUUCUUGGUUCCCCACAAGAUGAUUUUUGUCCCAUUAUAUUUGGUAGACCUUUCUUGAAUACUGUUAAUGCUAAGAUAGAUUGUGAGAAAUAAAUUGUUACUGUAAGUUUUGGGGAUAUGUCUCAUGAAUUUAAUUUCUCCAAAUUUCGUAAACAACCCCAUGAUAAAGAAUUGCCUAGUAAGGAUGAAAUAAUUGGUCUUGCUUCUAUUGUCGUGCCUCCUAUUGACCCUUUAGAACAAUAUUUGCUAGAUCAUGAGAAUGAUAUGUUUAUGAAUGAAAGAAAGGAAUUAGAUGAAAUAUUCUUUAAUCAAGGGCCUAUUUUGAAACAUAAUUUGCCUGUUGAAAUCCUUGGAGAUCCUCCUCCACCCAAGGGUGAUCCCGUGUCUGAGCACAAACAAUUAACUGAUACUUUGAAAUAUGCUUAUCUUGAUGAAAAGAAGAUAUAUCAUGUUAUUAUUAGUGCUAACCUUUCAAAGCAUGAAGAAAAAAGAUUAUUGAAAACUCUAAAGAAGCUCUGUGCUGCUAUUGGAUAUACUCUUGAUGAUCUUAAGGGCAUUAGUCCCACUCUAUGUCAGCACAAAAUUAAUAUGGAGCCUGAUGCUAAACCAGUUGUUGGUCAUCAACGACGGUUAAAUCCCAAGAUGAAAGAAGUGGUAAGAAAUGAAAUACUAAAGCUUCUGGGGGCAGGUAUAAUUUAUCCUAUUGCUGAUAGUAGAUGGGUAAGUCCUGUUCAUUGUGUCCCUAAGAAGGGAGGUAUUACUGUCGUUCCUAAUGAUAAGAAUGAAUUGAUUCCACAAAGAAUUGUUACCGGUUAUAGAAUGGUAAUUGAUUUCCGCAAAUUGAACAAAGCUACUAGAAAAUAUCAAUGCCCUCUACCUUUUAUUGAUCAAAUGCUUGAAAGACUAUCCAAACAUACACAUUUUCUUGCUUUCUAGAUGGUUAUUCUGGUUUCUCUCAAAUACCUAUGUCAAAAGAGGACCAAGAAAAGACCACUUUUACUUGCCCUUUCGGUACUUUUGCUUGUAGAUGUAUGCCUUUCGGUUUAUGCAAUGCACCUGCUACGUUUCAAAGAUGUAUGACUGCUAUAUUCUCCAACUUUUGUGAAAAGAUUGUUGAGGUUUUCAUGGAUGAUUUCUCUGUUUACGGAACUUCUUUUGAUGAUUUCUUAAGCAACCUUGAUAGAGUUUUGCAGAGAUGUGAAGAAACUAAUCUUGUCUUGAAUUGGCAGAAGUGCCACUUUAUGGUUAAUAAAGGUAUUGUCUUGGGGCAUAAAAUUUCUGAAAGAGGUAUUGAAGUUGAUAAAUCUAAAGUAGAUGCUAUUGAGAAGAUGCCGUGUCCUAAAGAUAUCAAAGGUAUAAGAAGUUUUCUUGGUCAUGCUGGUUUCUAUAGGAGAUUUAUUAAAAUCUUCUCUAAAAUUUCUAGGCCUCUCACUAAUCUCUUGCAAAAAGAUGUUCCUUUUGUUUUUGAUGAUGAUUGUGUAGAAGGAUUUGAAAUACUUAAGAAAGCCUUGAUUACUGCACCUAUUAUUCAACCACCUGAUUGGAAUUUACCCUUUGAAAUCAUGUGUGAUGCUAGUGAUUAUGUUGUUGGUGAUGUUCUAGGACAAAGAUUUGAUAAGAAAUUGAAUGUUAUUCAUUAUGCUAGUAAAACUCUAGACAGUGCCCAGAGAAAUUAUACUACUACUGAAAAGGAAUUUUUAGCAGUUGUAUUUGCUUGUGAUAAGUUCAGAUCUUAUAUUGUUGAUUCCUAAGUAACUAUUCACACUGAUCAUGCUGCUAUUAACUAUCGUAUGGAAAACAAAGAUGCUAAACCUGGACUUAUUAGAUGGGUUCUCCUAUUGAAAGAAUUUGAUUUGCAUAUUAUUGAUAGAAAGGGAGCUGAGAACCCCGUUGCAGACAACUUGUCUAGGUUAGAAAAUGUUCUUGAUGACCCACUGCCUAUUGAUGAUAGCUUUCCUGAUGAGCAAUUAGCUGUCAUAAAUGCUUCUCGUAAUACUCCAUGGUAUGCUGAUUAUGCUAAUUACAUUGUUGCUAAAUUUAUACCACCUAAUUUCACAUACCAGUAAAAGAAAAAGUUUUUCUAUGAUUUAAGACAUCACUCUUGGAAUGACCCACACCUUUAUAAAGAAGGAGUAGAUGGUGUUAUUAGAAGUUGUGUAGCUGAGCAUGAACAGGAACAGAUCCUAUGGAAGUGUCACUCCGAGGCUUAUGGAGGACACCAUGCUGGAGAUAGAACUGCACACAAGGUAUUAUAAUAUGGUUUUUGUUGGCCUACUCUCUUCAAGGAUGCUCGUAAGUUUGUCAUGUCUUGUGAUGAAUGUCAAAGAAUUGAUAAUAUUAGUAGACAUCAGGAAAUUCCUAUGAAUUAUUCACUUGUUAUUGAACCAUUUGAUGUUUGGGGCUUUGAUUAUAUGGGACCUUUUCCUUCCUCUAAUGGGUAUACACAUAUUUUAGUUGUUGUUGAUUACGUUACUAAGUGGGUAGAAGCUAUUCCAACUAGUAGUGAUGAUCAUAACACUUCUAUUAAGAUGCUUAAAGAAGUUAUUUAUCCGAGGUUUGGAGUCCCUAGAUAUUUAAUGACUGAUGGUGGUUCACAUUUUAUUCAUGGUGCUUUCGUAAAAUGCUUGCUAAAUAUGAUGUUAACCAUAGAAUUGCAUCUCCAUAUCAUCCUCGGUCUAGUGGUCAAGUAGAAUUGGGCAAUAAAGAGAUUAAAUUGAUUUUGCAAAAGACUGCUAAUAGAUCUAGAAAGAAUUGGUCUAAGAAACUUAAUGAUGCCUUAUGGCCUUAUAUAACUGCGUAUAAAAACCCUAUGGGUAUGUCUCCAUAUAAAAUGGUUUAUGGAAAAGCAUGUCACUUACCUCUUGAACUAGAACAUAAAGCUUAUUGGGCAAUCAAAGAGCUCAACUAUGAUUUCAAACUUGCUAGUGAAAAGAGGUUAUUUGACAUAAGCUUGCUCGAUGAAUGGAGGACCCAAGCCUAUGAGAAUGCCAAGUUGUUUAAAGAAAAAGUUAAAAGAUGGCAUGACAAAAUGAUACAAAAGCGUGAGUUUAAUGUAGGUGAUCAUGUUUUGCUAUUCAACUCUCGUUUAAGAUUUUUUGCAGGAAAGCUUCUCUCUAAAUGGGAAGGUCCUUACAUUAUCGAGGAGGUUUAUCAUUCCGGUGCCAUCAAAACCAACAACGCCGAAGGCACAAAUCCGAAGGUGGUAAAUGGUCAAAGAAUCAAACAUUAUAUUUCAGGUACUCCCAUAAAUGUUGAGACAAAUAUUAUUAAUACCAUAACACCGUAGGAGUACAUAAGGGAUACUUUCCAGAAAUUUCAGACUACGAAAAGGAAUAGGUAUGUGGUACGGUAAUUAAACCGACUCCAAAACUGUUGUAAGGGAAAUUUUUCUCCAUUUUAAAAUAUUUAAAAAAUUAGGAAAAUUGAAAGUAGUCCGAAAGGUGCACGAGGAGACCACAAGGGUGGAGGGCGUGCCCUACCCCCUAGGCGCCCCCCUGCCUUGUGGCCACCUUGUGUGCCUUCCGGACUUCGUUUUCUUGUGGAACACUUCUUUUGGUCGGUAAAAAAUCAUUAUAUAUCUCCCGAAGGUUUUGACCACCGUAGCACGACAAAAUACUCUGUUCUUGUUUCGAGUUGUUUUUCUGACAGAUCUAGAUCACCAUGACGUCUCCAAGCGCCCCCAAGGACAAGUUUUUUGAGAAGGUCAUCAACCCUUACCUCGCGGAGGUGCUGCGACACCCUCAAACCAUUGAGAUGCAUGAGGGGGUUCUUCACAUCCGUGAUGUUGAAGGGACGAAGACCGGAUGCGUGGAGAUAAGACUCGAAGCAAUGGAGCAGCAUGUUUUCAAGUGCCAAGGGAUGGUGGAACAUGGACUCAACGCCAACCACUUGAUGAUCGCGGAAUUUACCAACAACCACAAGUUGGAUGCCAAGAACAUUGGGGAGGCCAUCUUCAAGCUUCAUGAGAAAAUCGAGCAUCUUCAAGCCCGGAUCUAUGACCUGCAAAACCAAAACUGUGAGUAUGAAUACAGAUUUAAGAGGACGAAUUUGGCUGCAGAUUUGAGGAUCCCAGAGACUCGUUCAUCUUUUACGAUGGUGAACCUAUGCCUUGGAAGAUGGAGGAUAAUAUUCUUACUACAUCAACAACUCCAUCAUCACCACCGCUGAAGAAAGAGACAUAAAUACACGGGUAUGGGCACUCCCCUUGGCAACUGCCAAGCUUGGGGGAGGUGCCCCGGUAUCGUAUCGUAUCACCAUCACACCUUUACUUUUAUCGUUUUUCUUAGUUCAAUCCUUUUGGUUAUAUCUUGAUCUAGUAGAAUAAAAUUUUAGUAUGAUCUAGCUUUGAGUUUUGCUUUGAGAUCUACCUAUGUAAUCGAGUCCGUGAGCUAUAUAAUAAAGAUUAGUUUUGAGUUGAGGGCUUUACUUUCUUGCUAUGAUCUUGAGGGAAUAAAAUAAGAGAAAGAAUAAAAAUAAAUAAACAGAUCAUAUAAUUAUCUUAUGGAGAGUAAUGACUUCACAUAUAAAGAGUAUGAUGAAUAAAAUUUGUUAAGAGUUGACAAACAUAGUUUUGGUCAUUGUUGCAGCUAAAAGGAAGUAAUAAAGAAAGAGAGGUUUCACAUAUAAAUAUACUAUCUUGGACUUAUUUUGUAAUUGUGAGCACUCAUUAAAAUAUGACAUGCCAAAAAGUUGAUGUUGGACAAGGAAGACAACAUAAUGGGUUAUGUUUUCUGAUAUCGGAAUAGAAGUUAUAUUGUCGUGGAUCCUCCAACAUGUUGGGCUUGCUUUUCCCUCUUAUGCUAGCCAAAUCCUUUGCACCAAGUAGAGAUACUACUUGUGCAUCCAAAUAUCCCUUAACCCAAUUUUGCCAUGCGAUUUCACCAUACCUAGCUAUGGAUUGAGUAAGAUCCUUCAAGUAAGUUGUCAACGGUGCAGGCAAUAAAAUUGCUCUCUAAAUAUGUAUGCUCUAUUAGUGUGAAGAAAAUAAGCUUUAUACGAACUUGUGAUAUGGAAGAAAUAAAAGCGACGGACUGCAUAAUAAACUUCUUUAUCACAAGCGGCAAUAUAAAGUGACGUUCUUUCGCAUUAAGAUUUUGUGCAUCCAACCAUAAAAGCGCAUGACAACCUCUGCUUCCCUCUGCGAAGGGCCUAUCUUUUACUUUUAUCUUCUACCCUUAUACAAGAGUCAUGGUGAUCUUCACCUUUCCUUUUUACACUUUUUCCUUUGGCAAGCACUAUGUGUUGGAGAAAGAUCCAGAAAUAUAUAUAUCCACUCGGAUGUAGGUUAUCAUAAAGUAUUAUUGUUGACAUUACCCUUGAGGUAAAAUGUUGGGAGGCAAAACUAUAAGCCCCUAUCUUUCUCUGUGUAUGACUGAGGCUUUGAACCCAUAAGUAUUGCGUGAGUGUUAGCAAUGUUGAAAGACUAAAUGAUAGUUGAGUAUGUGGACUUGCUGAAAAGCUCGUAAAUUGACUCUUUCCGAUGUUAUGAUAAAUUGCAAUUGCUUCAAUGACUGAGAUCAUAGUUUGUUAGUUUUCAAUGAAGUUUUGAUUCAUACUUUACCUUGUGAACGAAUUGUUACUUUAGCAUAAGAAAUUAUAUGACAAUAUAUGUUGUUGUUCUAAAGAUGAUCAUCAUGCCCUCAUGUCCGUAUUUUAUUUUAUCGACACCUCUAUCACUAAACAUGUGGACAUAUUUUUCGAUUUCGGCUUUCGCUUGAGGACAAGUGAGGUCUAAGCUUGGGGGAGUUGAUAUGUCCAUUUUGCAUCAUGCUUUUAUAUUGAUAUUUAUUGCAUUAUGGGCUGUUAUUACCUAUUUUGGUACAAUACUUAUGCCUUUUCUCUCUUAUUUUACAAGGUUUACACGAAGAGGGAGAAUGUCGGCAGCUGGAAAAGGAGCAAAUAUUAUGGACAUAUUCUGCAUAACUCCAAAAGUCCUGAAAAAAAUUUGGAGAGUCAUUUUGGAAUUAAUAAAAUAUAUUGGGCGAAGAAAGCACCAGAGGGGGCCCACCAGCCAUCCUCAAGGGUGGGGGCGCACCCUACCCCCCUGGGCGCGCCCCCUGCCUUGUGGGCUCCCUGGCAGCCGUCCGGUGCCCAUCUACUGCUCUAUGGUGUGUUUUGACCUGGAAAAUAUCAGAAGGAAGCUUUCGGGAGAAGCGUCGCCGUCUCGAGGUGGAACUUGGGAAAAAUCAAUCUAGGGCUCCGGCGGAGCUGUUCUGCCAGGGAAACUUCCCUCCGGGAGUGGGAAACCGAAGCCAUCGUCAUCACCAACGAUCCUCUCAUCGAGAGGGGGUCAAUUUCCAUCAACAUCUUCACCAGCACCAUCUCCUCUCAAACCCUAGUUCAUCUCUUGUAUCCGAUCUUUAUCUCAAAACCUCAAAUUGUUACCUGUGGGUUGCUAGUAGUGUUGAUUACUCCUUGUAGUUGAUGCUAGUUGGUUUAUUUGGUGGAAGAUCAUUUGUUCAGAUCCUGAAUGAUAAUUAAUACUCCUCUGAUUUGAACAUGAAUAUGCUUUGUGAGUAGUUACGUUUGUUCCUGAGGACAUGGGAGAAGUCUUGUUAUAAGUAAUCAUGUGAAUUUGAUAUUCGUUCGAUAUUUUGAUGAGAUGUAUGUUUUCUUUCCUCUAGUGGUGUUAUAUGAACGUCAACUACAUGACACUUCACCAUGAUUUGGGCCUAGGGGAAGGCAUUGGGAAGUAAUAACUAGAUGAUGGGUUGCUAGACUGACAGAAGCUUAAACCCUAGUUUAUGCGUUGCUUCGUAAGGGGCUGAUUUGGAUCCAUAUGUUUCAUACUAUGGUUAGAUUUAUCUUAAUUCUUCUUUCGUAGUUGCGGAUGCUUGCGAGAGGGGUUAAUCAUAAGUGGGAGGCUUUUCCAAGGAAGGCCAACACCCGACCAUCGAUCCACCCACAUAUCAAAUUAUCAAAGUAACGAACGUGAAUCAUAUGAGCAUGAUGAAAAUUAGCUUGACAAUAAUUCUCAUGUGUCCUCGAGAGCGCUUAGUUACUUUUGUUACUUUAGUUAAUCAUAAGAGUUCGUCCAGGCUUGUCCUUUGCUACAAAAAGGAUUGGGCCACCUUGCCGCACCUUAGUUACUUUUGUUACUUGUUACCCGUUAUGAAUUAUCAUAUCACAAAACUAUCUGUUACCGAUAAUUUCAGUGCUUGCAGAGAAUACUUUGCUGAAAACCACUUGUCAUUUCCUUCUGGUCCUCGCUGGGUUCGACACUCUUACUUAUCGAAAGGACUAUGAUAGACCCACUAUACUUGUGGGUCAUCACUACCCAAUACAAUCAAAAGGUCGAUAUGAUGAAGAAGACUAGGCAAUACAUUUGUACAUUAACACUCCCCCUCAGGUGUGGCUCCCUCAGGUCUAAACGUGGAACGAAAGUCGACUGCAAUUUAAUUGCGCUAGCCGCUCUUGAACUCAAGACCUCUUGGCUCUGAUACUAUGUAGAUUGUGCAUGCUCUAGGGAAUGCAACAAAAAAAACUGAUCUGAUGGAAGAGACUAGCCAAUACAUUUAAACGUCAACACGAGUUAAUAUGCAUUCAUAUUCAUAUCGCAUCCGUGUGUAAGUGUGCAUGUGAGAUAUUCCAAAGAACAAAAACAUAUGUAGAAUAUACAAAAGUUCCUCUUGUUGAGCUGGAUUUAACACUGUAAAACUAUGUAUGUCGAAUUUGUUAAGUAAGAGCUUCUACAACCGGAGCUCCCACAUCCAUCUUAAACUUCUUAAAUUGCUUAAUUAGAUCCCUCUGUGUUAGUAUGGUAGGGUCUAAAGGCAAUUGAUAGUAAAACCUAUCACUAAUUGUCAAGCUACCAUCGGGCAAGUGAUUGUGUGACACCCAUGCCGUAUCUUCAACAACAUCAUGAAGCUGCUGGGUGGCACCAACCCACUGUUCAAAAUAUCUUCUGAUUUAGCGAUUUAUCAUCUAAUUUAUCGCUACUCGGGGGUGACCGGUAAGAUUAUACCUUAUCUUCACCGUUUAUCAUUUGGGCUGAUUUAUCGCUCUGAUAAGCGAUUUAUUGGGAAUCUACCGAUAAAGCGGGCCUAUCAUAGCACUAUGCUUGCAAAAACUAUGUUUAUUUGUGUUUGAUGAACCUUGUUAUGCAAUAUGUACUAUUAUUGUAUUUUGUUUGUCAUCAUACGAGGAUUCAAUGGCUAGGAAUCAAGGUAACACUUUAGUCCAAUAUUGUCUUGGUGUUGAAUAUAGCAUAUUUUAGUGUUGGGAGCCUAGGAUUUGUAAAAAAUGACCGAUUAAUAGUCGACAGAUAAAAUCGAUUAUUCGGCCGAUUUCUGAUUAAUCUCUAAUCCCCAGCUGACCGCGACGCUAACGAUAAGUGAUAUCCUCAACAUUGCACCAACCUAUGCAAAGUAGCAGCAUGACCGCACUGUUCGAAACAUAAAAAGGGAAUCACAAAACAACACAAGACAAUGGUUGAUUUCUUUACCCAAUGGGAGAGAUGACACUUUCAUCGGGUUCCAGAGGCCGCCGUCCCUCGCCGCCGUUAUGAUCCAGGGGAAUGGAAGCUGUGGAGGCAACGAGGUAGCGACGGAUCAGCGGGAGGACAUGAAUAGAAGUGGCGGGCGAAAGGGGGUCUACCAACUAAAAUUUAGGGAUGGGUCACUAUCGAGCAUAGCAGGUGAGCCCACAAUGGAGAAAGACACGCAUCAGAAGGGCUAAAUGGAAAUUAUGGCCGUAAUGGCAGCCCCCACAUCGACGGACACUCAAAGAGUCUUGUCGUCAAUAUUGGUGGCCCACAUCGGAGUGGAAAAUGGAAAUUAUGGCACAACGUUGGCCCCCCACAUCGCCCGAAAGGGUCAAUCAAAUCUCCUUGUGGCUGCAUUUGAUGUGGCGAAGUGGUGGGUCCAAAAAGGAAGGAAACAACCCAAAGUUGACGGAGAUGACAUGCAGUGUCAUACACCUAAUUUUUUCACAAUCAUUAGUGGUCUAGACCGAAAUAUGGAAGUUUGAGUGGCAGGACUCGAACAUGCAACUCUGGCAGUGGCACGGGCCGAUUCUUCCCAAAAAUAUAAUAUGAAAACUUUUUCAUGAUGGGUUUGAGGAUAUUGAUUGCUAUCGUACAUUUUAAUAUUUCCUUCUUAUAAACUAGAUCAAAGUGUAAUCAAACAAAACUAAUAUGCACUCUAUUCUGAAAUGAGGGGAGUAAGCCCUACCUAUUAGACAACAUGACCGUGGCUAUUGAUGAUUUUUGGGUACUAGUAAUGUCAUUUGAUAGGAUUGUUUUUGGCAUUUAUUUGGAUAAGUAUAACCUUUAUCCAACCAAAACUGAAACAUAUCAUUUAAUGACAUUAAUUGGAUAAGGAUAACCCCCACAAAGGAUAAGGAUAACCUUGAUGCCACCACAUCUAUAUAAGGCGACUGAAUUGUACCCGUCAUGACCACAAAAACAUACUGGUUGGCAGACUAUUGCAUAACUAUAUAUUUUCUGUUGUUUUGUGUUCUUAGGCAAUGGCGAAAAAUGGCAUCUUUCAAGUGCUCAUUGUUUUUCUCAUGGCGCAAGUCUGCUUGCUCAUGAUGAUAGCAACACCGGUAGCACAUGCAGCUGCUAGACCGGUGGGGUACAAUCCAGUGUGCUGCCCUAGGAACAUCUAUUGUUGCGGGUUCGGUAGCGGAUUGGCCAAUUCACCCGCACCAUCAAUUGUAUCUUGAUGUGUGGUUUUAUUCUCCCUCAAGUAGUAAGCUCGACAUAUAAAUGAUAUAUGCGGUUCAUGUGUUACCUAAUCCUGAAUAUUUGUGAUGCUACUAUCAAGAAGGUAUUGUACUAGUUACUUACAAAAUAAAAUGGGAGGAAAUUAUUAUAUAUCUUUUUUGCAAUAUACUACAAAGAGAUUUAAGCUUAUGUAUACUUUACUCCUUUUGGAAACUAGAUUAUUUGACAGCUUUGAUUUAAAGACCCAAAAAAUGAGUGGCGUGGCAUACACGUUAAACUCAUGAGUCUGUAGUGCGUGCCUUUGGGAAUCUCUGUUUUAUCAUCAUGUUGGUCGUACAUUCCGGCGAGGUCAUCCGUGUCGUGGCAACAUGCUUUAUUUUUCAUUGAGAACAUAAUUUUAAAGCAUUUAUUGGGUAAUGGAGUAUAUCAGCAAUUACUAGCUACCAAAUACUGUUGGGCAGGCUUGUUUGUGAAUUCAGGGAUGCACACUAUGUUUCUUUUUGCAAGAAUGCCAAGUCCAUAUAUUAAAAUUGUCCAAACCUUAC
This 32207-nucleotide long non-coding RNA is filed under the name Triticum aestivum (bread wheat). RNAcentral's name for it is "long non-coding RNA (TAES_LNC017473)". Lineage: Eukaryota; Viridiplantae; Streptophyta; Magnoliopsida; Poales; Poaceae. The record is from RNAcentral.